RNAcentral lists this ribosomal RNA (533 nucleotides) under Salmonella enterica subsp. enterica serovar Bovismorbificans. RNAcentral describes it as "bacterial SSU rRNA". It matches the Rfam family "Bacterial small subunit ribosomal RNA", at positions 67 to 595 of the family's 1533-position model. Lineage: Bacteria; Pseudomonadati; Pseudomonadota; Gammaproteobacteria; Enterobacterales; Enterobacteriaceae. The record is from RNAcentral.
CGGAUGAUGGGAGCUUGCUCCCGGAUUCAGCGGCGGACGGGUGAGUAAUACCUAGGAAUCUGCCUGGUAGUGGGGGACAACGUUUCGAAAGGAACGCUAAUACCGCAUACGUCCUACGGGAGAAAGCAGGGGACCUUCGGGCCUUGCGCUAUCAGAUGAGCCUAGGUCGGAUUAGCUAGUUGGUGGGGUAAAGGCCUACCAAGGCGACGAUCCGUAACUGGUCUGAGAGGAUGAUCAGUCACACUGGAACUGAGACACGGUCCAGACUCCUACGGGAGGCAGCAGUGGGGAAUAUUGGACAAUGGGCGAAAGCCUGAUCCAGCCAUGCCGCGUGUGUGAAGAAGGUCUUCGGAUUGUAAAGCACUUUAAGUUGGGAGGAAGGGCAGUAAGUUAAUACCUUGCUGUUUUGACGUUACCAACAGAAUAAGCACCGGCUAACUUCGUGCCAGCAGCCGCGGUAAUACGAAGGGUGCAAGCGUUAAUCGGAAUUACUGGGCGUAAAGCGCGCGUAGGUGGUUUGGUAAGAUGGAUGU